CCUACGGGAGGCAGCAGUGGGGAAUAUUGCACAAUGGGCGCAAGCCUGAUGCAGCCAUGCCGCGUGUGUGAAGAAGGCCUUCGGGUUGUAAACACUUUCAGCGGGGAGGAAGGCGGUGAGGUUAAUAACCUCAUCGAUUGACGUUACCCGCAGAAGAAGCACCGGCUAACUCCGUGCCAGCAGCCGCGGUAAUACGGAGGGUGCAAGCGUUAAUCGGAAUUACUGGGCGUAAAGCGCACGCAGGCGGUCUGUCAAGUCGGAUGUGAAAUCCCCGGGCUCAACCUGGGAACUGCAUUCGAAACUGGCAGGCUAGAGUCUUGUAGAGGGGGGUAGAAUUCCAGGUGUAGCGGUGAAAUGCGUAGAGAUCUGGAGGAAUACCGGUGGCGAAGGCGGCCCCCUGGACAAAGACUGACGCUCAGGUGCGAAAGCGUGGGGAGCAAACAGGAUGAGAUACCCGGGUAGUC
RNAcentral lists this ribosomal RNA (464 nucleotides) under uncultured Klebsiella sp. Its description in RNAcentral is "bacterial SSU rRNA". It matches the Rfam family "Bacterial small subunit ribosomal RNA", at positions 338 to 795 of the family's 1533-position model. The record is from RNAcentral. Lineage: Bacteria; Pseudomonadati; Pseudomonadota; Gammaproteobacteria; Enterobacterales; Enterobacteriaceae.